GAUGCGUUAUUAAGAGGACUUUAUGAUGGAGUUCUUGACGUUUUUCUCUCUUUUCUAUACUUCUUUUUCUUUCUUUGAAUGUCCAGCGUCCUGUGAGCGAAGAUUAUGAGAUAUGAGGGCAAGUCUGUUAGAGCAAGAAAACUGGUUGUCAAAAUAUUGUGGUUUCUUUCUUUGUAAGAAGGGUGAUUUAACUAAGGAUAAAACAAGGCAUUUUCUAAACUAUAGUUAAAUUUGCAGUUUUUUAUUUGAAUAUUUUAGUCAUGCUAAUUCUAAGAGAAUUCUCAUAAAUGUAAGAUUUAUAAUAGUAUCUUACUACUGUAUGCCUCAGAUCUUUAAAUUUUUUGCCAAAAAUUAAACCUGUUAAUGUGGAGUACCUUCUUUAGUUUUUCAAAAAGCUUAAUGUUUCCCUAGAUUCUGUCACUGUAUGAGAUUUUAGAAUGUUGUAUUUAAUAUGUUCGCCAACUGCAUGUUGUUAAUUUAGAUAUAUUUUGUUUUCAAUUCCAGAUUAGCCUGAGGCCUGCUCAGUCGUUCCUAAUGAAUAAAAAUCAAGUGCCAAAGCUUCAGCCCCAGAUAACUAUGAUUCCUCCUAGUGCACAACCACCACGCACUCAAACACCACCUCUGGGACAGACACCUCAGCUUGGUCUCAAAACUAAUCCACCACUUAUCCAGGAAAAGCCUGCCAAGACCAGCAAAAAGCCACCACCGUCAAAGGAAGAACUCCUUAAACUAACUGAAACUGUUGUGACUGAAUAUCUAAAUAGUGGAAAUGCAAAUGAGGCUGUCAGUGGUGUAAGAGAAAUGAGGGCUCCUAAACACUUUCUUCCUGAGAUGUUAAGCAAAGUAAUCAUC
This 852-nucleotide small RNA is filed under the name Pan troglodytes (chimpanzee). RNAcentral describes it as "retained intron". The stretch from base 1 to 122 matches the Rfam family "Small nucleolar RNA SNORD97", at positions 21 to 142 of the family's 142-position model. The record is from RNAcentral. Lineage: Eukaryota; Metazoa; Chordata; Mammalia; Primates; Hominidae.